CAGCAGCCGCGGUAAUACGUAGGUGGCAAGCGUUGUCCGGAGUUAUUGGGCGUAAAGGGCUCGCAGGCGGUUUCUUAAGUCUGAUGUGAAAGCCCCCGGCUCAACCGGGGAGGGUCAUUGGAAACUGGGAAACUUGAGUGCAAGAGGGGAGAGUGGAAUUCCAUGUGUAGCGGUGAAAUGCGUAGAUAUAUGGAGGAACACCGGUGGCGAAAGCGGCUCUCUGGCUUGUAACUGACGCUGAGGCUCGAAAGCGUGGGGAGCAAACAGGAUUAGAUACCCCCGUAGUCCCUGUCUCUUAUAC
This 301-nucleotide ribosomal RNA is filed under the name uncultured bacterium. RNAcentral describes it as "partial 16S ribosomal RNA". It matches the Rfam family "Bacterial small subunit ribosomal RNA", at positions 509 to 807 of the family's 1533-position model. The record is from RNAcentral.